UGUUUUCAGUAGAAAGAGGAAGAGAAACGGUGGAAGUGAAGAUGUGAAUCAAAAGCAGACGGCUGACUCGAGUGAUGAUACAUACACAGCUCUGGAUCCAGUGUCCAGAACAUCUGCUGACAUUUACAGCACGAUCAGAUCUGCUGACUCCAGAGCUCCUGAUGACACCUACACGGCUCUCCAGCUUCAGUCCAGAUCUUCUGAAUAUGAGACUCUAGCAGGAACUCAUUAAACUCUCCUCACAGGAUACUGCUCACAUGGAAAUACUCAGAAACUCAUUCAUAUCAUAUCUGAUGCUUAUUUCAUUAUCAGUAACUUUUAUAAACCUUCCUGAAGUAACUGUGUAUACUGUUAUGGAGCUUAUAACAU
Carassius auratus (goldfish) is the source of this 369-nucleotide long non-coding RNA. RefSeq lists it as uncharacterized. Lineage: Eukaryota; Metazoa; Chordata; Actinopteri; Cypriniformes; Cyprinidae. The record is from RefSeq and is a predicted model, not a curated record. The transcript has 3 exons.